AACGCUGGCGGCAUGCCUUACACAUGCAAGUCGAACGGCAGCACGGGAGCAAUCCUGGUGGCGAGUGGCGAACGGGUGAGUAAUAUAUAGGAACGUGCCCAGUCGUGGGGGAUAACGCAGCGAAAGCUGUGCUAAUACCGCAUACGAUCUCUGGAUGAAAGCGGGGGACUCGCAAGGGCCUCGCGCGAUUGGAGCGGCCGAUAUCAGAUUAGCUAGUUGGCGGGGUAAAAGCCCACCAAGGCGACGAUCUGUAGCUGGUCUGAGAGGACGACCAGCCACACUGGAACUGAGACACGGUCCAGACUCCUACGGGAGGCAGCAGUGGGGAAUUUUGGACAAUGGGCGCAAGCCUGAUCCAGCAAUGCCGCGUGCAGGAUGAAGGCCUUCGGGUUGUAAACUGCUUUUGUACGGAACGAAACGGUCUGCCCUAAUACGGUGGGCUAAUGACGGUACCGUAAGAAUAAGCACCGGCUAACUACGUGCCAGCAGCCGCGGUAAUACGUAGGGUGCGAGCGUUAAUCGGAAUUACUGGGCGUAAAGCGUGCGCAGGCGGUUAUAUAAGACAGAUGUGAAAUCCCCGGGCUCAACCUGGGACCUGCAUUUGUGACUGUAUAGCUAGAGUACGGUAGAGGGGGAUGGAAUUCCGCGUGUAGCAGUGAAAUGCGUAGAUAUGCGGAGGAACACCGAUGGCGAAGGCAAUCCCCUGGACCUGUACUGACGCUCAUGCACGAAAGCGUGGGGA
Molecule: ribosomal RNA, 742 nt
Filed under: uncultured soil bacterium
Lineage: Bacteria
Description: bacterial SSU rRNA
Rfam family: Bacterial small subunit ribosomal RNA
Source: RNAcentral